CCAAACACAAGAUGAACGAAGUGUCUGAGAAAUGUCAAGCAAAGAGGAGGAAAAAGGACAACUCACUGAAGAUGGAGGAAAAGGAAAGGGACUCCGGGCACAGUAACCUCCCUGUAAUCAGAUCUCAGGUCAUGUAACGACACUGUAAGGGGAUCUCGAGCCUUUUAAUACCUUGAGCAGCGCGACCGCCCUGUAAGCAGGGUCCAGGUCUGUGCUGUUUUGUCCUUUUGACAUUGUACUCCGUUAGUGGGCUAGUGAGAGUGACUGCCCUGUAAUCAGGGUUCAAGUCACACACACACCCCCUCACGUUCAAGGGACAUUGAGCUCUUUGGUAACUUGAGCAGUGUUUGAGUCCUGACCCUGUAAUGAAGGGAUUGUUUGUGUCCUUCUGCCUUCUGGGGGAUAUUGAGCUCUGUGGAACCCUGAGCAGUGUGACCGCCCUGUAACUAGGGUCCAGGUCUUUGCCACUUGCUCAUUUGGCAUUACGCCGUACACUGGCCAAAUUGUCAGCUUGUCAGCCCUGUAAUCAGGGCACAUGUCACAAAUAUCUAUAGAAUGGGACAUAUUGAGUCCUUUGGUACUUUGAGGAGUUUGACCUUCCUGUAAUUCAGGUUACGGUCUCUGCUAUAUGGCUAAUCUCAGUGACCGCCCUGUAAUCAGGGUACAGGUUGCAUCUCUCUUUUGAAAUCUUUGGAAUUGGAACCAUUUCAGUAACAUGGGCAGUUUGACCUCCCUGUAACUAGGGGUUGGUCUCCGAGGCCCUUUGGGUCUCUUGGCAUUGUGCUUUCUUCACAGCCUGAGAUGAGUGACCGCCCUGUAAUCAGGGAUCUGGUCUUUGCCCUCUAUUCCCUUGGCAUGAGGUCAAGUGCAGCCCACUGAUAUGUAUGAACACCCUGUAAACAGGGUACAGGUCUCAUCAGACACUAUUUAUGGUGCCCCCAUGAGACUGUGUCCAGAGUCCUGGCCCUUCGCACUGUGCUUCCAACUUGCCUGGAAUUGUGCAGCAAAGUCUUCUACUUUCUGCUCUGCUUACUGUGCUCUUGGAGAUCCGACAUCCUGCUGCUGUUGAUGAAUAUGAAAUAGCAUUGCACAUCUGCUAUAACUGUCUUGGACACUUUUUAUAUCUUCUAAAGGAGAAUGGGACAAAACAGAAGCACCCAAUCGAAAAAUGAGAAAAGAGAUGCUAACAGCCUGUGAAGGAGAAAGGAAACAAAUUCUGAGAGCAAAGUAUAGUUGUGUGAUCUAUUUCAAAGGUUUUAUGCCAUGUCCAGCACCAUGGUAUAGAGUGUAUUGGAAAGAUAAAUUGAACAAAGUCACUUGCAUCUGUCACCUUUCAAAUGCUAAUUAAUGUUCAUAGGCAGUAUAUAACAAACUGAAGCUCGAUUACUUGUGGCACCACAAAACUGAAGAGUGGUGAACAGUUUCCUUCUACAGCCUUUCAAUUCAUA
Gopherus evgoodei (Goodes thornscrub tortoise) is the source of this 1448-nucleotide long non-coding RNA. RefSeq lists it as uncharacterized. The record is from RefSeq and is a predicted model, not a curated record. NCBI's taxonomy places the organism in Eukaryota, Metazoa, Chordata, Testudines, Testudinidae. The transcript is spliced from 3 exons.